This 198-nucleotide ribosomal RNA is filed under the name uncultured bacterium. RNAcentral describes it as "partial 16S ribosomal RNA". It matches the Rfam family "Bacterial small subunit ribosomal RNA", at positions 326 to 539 of the family's 1533-position model. The record is from RNAcentral.
ACGCUCGACACCUACGGAAGGCAGCAGUGGGGAAUAUUGCACAAUGGGGGAAACCCUGAUGCAGCGACGCCGCGUGAGCGAAGAAGUAUCUCGGUAUGUAAAGCUCUAUCAGCAGGGAAGAAGAUGACGGUACCUGACUAAGAAGCACCGGCUAAAUACGUGCCAGCAGCCGCGGUAAUCUGAGCGGGCUGGCAAGGC